RNAcentral lists this unclassified non-coding RNA (345 nucleotides) under soil metagenome. RNAcentral's name for it is "partial contains 5.8S ribosomal RNA, internal transcribed spacer 2, and large subunit ribosomal RNA". The stretch from base 1 to 119 matches the Rfam family "5.8S ribosomal RNA", at positions 35 to 154 of the family's 154-position model. The record is from RNAcentral.
GAUGAAGAACGUAGCGAAAUGCGAUACGUAAUGUGAAUUGCAAAUUCAGUGAAUCAUCGAGUCUUUGAACGCACAUUGCGCUCCCUGGUAUUCCGGGGGGCAUGCCUGUCCGAGCGUCAUUGCUGCCCUCAAGCACGGCUUGUGUGUUGGGCCCCGUCCUCCGAUCCCGGGGGACGGGCCCGAAAGGCAGCGGCGGCACCGCGUCCGGUCCUCGAGCGUAUGGGGCUUUGUCACCCGCUCUGUAGGCCCGGCCGGCGCUUGCCGAUCAACCCAAAUUUUUAUCCAGGUUGACCUCGGAUCAGGUAGGGAUACCCGCUGAACUUAAGCAUAUCAAUAAGCGGAGGA